AGCUAAUACUUGCUUUAGCACUCUUGAUUAAGUUCUUGAGUGUGUACUUGUUAAGCCUUUUAAGAAAAAAGUUAUUAACUUAAGGAAUUAUAACAAAGAAGUAACACGUAAUGGAUCCGUCCAUUUUUAAUGUGUAUCAAUCGAGUUUCUGACCUAUCAGCUUUUGAUGUUAGGGUAUUGGCCUAACAUGGCUAUGACGGGUAACGGGGAAUUAGAGUUCGAUUCCGGAGAGGGAGCCUGAGAAAUAGCUACCACAUCUAAGGAAGGCAGCAGGCGCGUAGAUUACCCAAUUCUAAAGAAGAGAGGUAGUGACAAGGAAUAACAAUACAAGGCCAACCUGGCUUUGUAAUUGGAAUGAUGGGAAUUUAAAACCUUCCCAAAACUCAAUUGGAGGGCAAGUCUGGUGCCAGCAGCCGCGGUAAUUCCAGCUCCAAUAGCGUAUAUUAAAAUUGUUGCAGUUAAAACGCUCGUAGUUGAAUUUCAAAGAAUCGAUAUUUUAAGUAACGCUUUUAGCUUAAUCCACAUAAUUGAUACUACGUAUCGACUUUGUGCGCAUUUUGCUAUUAUGUGUUCUUUUAAUUAAAAUGAUUCUUUUUAAGGUCUUUCUUUUGCUCCGGCAUUUGAAGAUCUUGUUACUUUGAGUAAAUUAGAGUGUUCAAAGCAAACAGAUAUGGCAUUGCGCGUUUGAAUACUACAGCAUGGAAUAACAAAAUUGAACAAGUCAGAAUUUUGUUCUUUUUUCUUAUUUUGGCUUAGUUACGAUUAAUAGGAGUAACUUGGGGGCAUUUGUAUUCAGAUGUCAGAGGUGAAAUUCUUAGAUUUUCUGGAGACAAACAACUGCGAAAGCAUUUGCCUAAAAUACUUCCAUUAAUCAAGAACGAAAGUUAAGGGAGUGAAGACGAUCAGAUACCGUCGUAUCUUAACCAUAAACUAUGCCGACUAGGCUUUGGAUGAAAGAUUCUAAAAUAAGA
RNAcentral lists this ribosomal RNA (971 nucleotides) under Plasmodium cynomolgi. Its description in RNAcentral is "SSU rRNA". It matches the Rfam family "Eukaryotic small subunit ribosomal RNA", at positions 162 to 1077 of the family's 1831-position model. Lineage: Eukaryota; Apicomplexa; Aconoidasida; Haemosporida; Plasmodiidae. The record is from RNAcentral.